AACGAACGCUGGCGGCAGGCUUAACACAUGCAAGUCGAACGCCCCGCAAGGGGAGUGGCAGACGGGUGAGUAACGCGUGGGAACAUACCCUUUCCUGCGGAAUAGCUCCGGGAAACUGGAAUUAAUACCGCAUACGCCCUACGGGGGAAAGAUUUAUCGGGGAAGGAUUGGCCCGCGUUGGAUUAGCUAGUUGGUGGGGUAAAGGCCUACCAAGGCGACGAUCCAUAGCUGGUCUGAGAGGAUGAUCAGCCACAUUGGGACUGAGACACGGCCCAAACUCCUACGGGAGGCAGCAGUGGGGAAUAUUGGACAAUGGGCGCAAGCCUGAUCCAGCCAUGCCGCGUGAGUGAUGAAGGCCUUAGGGUUGUAAAGCUCUUUAACCGAUGAAGAUAAUGACGGUAGUCGGAGAAGAAGCCCCGGCUAACUUCGUG
This 431-nucleotide ribosomal RNA is filed under the name uncultured bacterium. RNAcentral describes it as "partial 16S ribosomal RNA". It matches the Rfam family "Bacterial small subunit ribosomal RNA", at positions 29 to 507 of the family's 1533-position model. The record is from RNAcentral.